UCCCAAAUCAAUAUGGUUUACUAUUCUCAAACUUAACAACAAACGCAGGAAACAUAUAUCUACUGCAUCUCCAAAAACACAAGUAGUUUUAGUUACUAGGUUCUUCAUUUUCUUCAUUUGAUCUAGAUACAACUUGCAAGUGUGUGAUAGGGAAAUGCUUGUUAGGCUAUCUAGAAAUACUUAGUUGGCCUUCUGCUGCUUAUCCUAAAAUUCUUAGAGGUAUGAAAAAAGAAAGAAAGAA
This is a long non-coding RNA of Quercus lobata, 241 nucleotides long. RefSeq lists it as uncharacterized. The record is from RefSeq and is a predicted model, not a curated record. Lineage: Eukaryota; Viridiplantae; Streptophyta; Magnoliopsida; Fagales; Fagaceae. The transcript has 2 exons.